UCAGAAAUGUAAAAUCCUAUGCAAAGAUUGGAAGCUUACUUCCAGAUAAUACUGAUACAUGCUGCUCUACAUAAGCAUUCAAAUAUCAUCAGUGUUUUUUUUGGAGGGAUUAGAUAUUGUUCUAAUUUCUUCCCUAAGCUUGCCUUGGUUUCUAUGCUAAGACAAAGCAAUAAGAAGAACAAAAGUCAGCAUUUCAGUUAAGAGAUUUGUCUUCUUAUUGGUGCACAUGAGUUAAAGCUAUACAGACAGUAACAAUAUGACAGAAAAAGAGAAAAAAGGUGAAGAACAGAGCAAUGCACUGCAGCGCAGCUGAGAGUUCUCUGUAGCCUUAACGAGGUUCAUUAGGCUCCUAAUUUGAGCCAGGGCUGAGAUUCUGACUAAAUCUGACUUCUCAGUGUUGCUGUGGACCAGCACUGCUUGCUCUGCCUAAUUAUCCAGGUUUUUCUGUUUGGUCCACUGAGCUGAGACUGGAUGUGUGCUGUUGCAGGGACGUUGCGGAUCUGCAUCAACACCACUAAAGACAUUACAGAGCUCGAUGAAAGCAUUUUGCAUUGCUGCUUGUAAUGAAGGAGGAAAGGAGCUUUCUCCACCUUCUGACCCCCCUCCCUCAAGCACCAAUGCAAAGGAGGAUUUAUUGUUUCAUGAGCAGCAUGAUCAUGCUUUACAGGAAGGGGUCUUUCUGAAGGUUACUACAAUUAGCAGUGGCAACAGGCUCCAACAUCAUCAUUAGCAACAGUUCCUGACUUGUUAUGACUCUGAAAUGGCGCAGGCAUCAUUAAUGGCACACUGAAAACUGAAAACUGGUCUGGAUGAUGUGUUUUUGCGUGACCUAAUUUAGGUAUUUCUGCUCUGGCAGAAGGAUUGGACUAAAUGAUCUUUAGAGGCUCCUUUCAAUCUCUGACAUUCUGUGAUUCUUGACAAUAUGGAAGCACCUGAGCCAUGACUGCACAUGCCGGAAUGCAAUGAGCCACAUGCCACAGCACCUCAGAACUCUGCCGCUGCUUCUACUCUCACUGAAGAUGAGUACUAUCCUCACCUGUAUUUCAGCACUGGUAACACUAUUACUGCCUUUGGCUUUGCUUUUCAGGACGUCUUUUGUGUGUACACGUCCCUGUACUAAGUCACUGUACAUUCUUCAUGGAGGAAUUCAGUUUCACCACUUUGCAUCAGACACUCUUCCAUGUCAGAAGCUAUUUUGUUGGACUGCCAUCUGUUUCAUGGCAACAAGAUGUAAUGGAAUAUUGUUGAGUAAGGUUCAGCCUCUACUGCCAUACCACCAUCAUCUGCCUCGUAUGUUGUGGGCCAACAUCAUAAAACAGGAAGCAUUACUUUCAGAGCAUCCUUUGUAUAAAAUAUAAUAUAGUUAACGUACAUAAGUACCCAAACUUAUUUUAACUUUUAAUAUUUAUAUUAAAACAAUAACAGCAACAAAAGAGCAACAAAUCCAUAAAACUACAGGGAUAUUUGACCUUGUUUUUCUGAAAUCGUUGCAUCAGACUGGUUUGAAGGUAGAGGGCACAAUUCUUAGUCAGGCAUCAAGGUGUUCAACAGAGACUGUCAGAUUGACAGUAAUUGUUCCCAAAUGUAUGUAGUGCCGAAAAGUGAUGACAUGAACAAGGCAUGGUUGUGAAGCAAGGGAUACUUUUCUUUGGGAAGAGGGGGCUUAUAAAAGAACAGUAGAGAG
This is a long non-coding RNA of Tympanuchus pallidicinctus (lesser prairie-chicken), 1684 nucleotides long. RefSeq lists it as uncharacterized. Lineage: Eukaryota; Metazoa; Chordata; Aves; Galliformes; Phasianidae. The record is from RefSeq and is a predicted model, not a curated record. The transcript has 4 exons.